This 818-nucleotide non-coding RNA is filed under the name Odontotermes sp. D TB-2017. Lineage: Eukaryota; Metazoa; Arthropoda; Insecta; Blattodea; Termitidae. The record is from RNAcentral.
AAGAGAGUUUUAUUCUUGCUUUUGUUGUUCAGUGUUUGCUUGCUCUAUAUGUGAGUUUUUGCGUAUUUGUGUUAUGUUUUCUAGAUGAGGAUGUAGUGGUAGAGUUUAUUAUUUUCAUUAGUUGUUAUUGGUUGGUUGGGCCUGCUUUUAUCCAGCAAUGCAUUUUAGUUUCGGUUAAAUUUUGUGCCAGCAGCCGCGGUUAUACUUUGGGGGCGUAUGAAUAUUUUUGGUUUAGCAGUUUUGUGUUUAAUUUUUUGGUUUUUAUUGGUUGGUUGUUUUUGGGUGAAAUUUUUAUUUUUGGUUGUUGUUUUUUAUUUGUUUGGAGGCUGUGAAACUCUUUUUUGUAAACUAGGAUUAGAUACCCUAUUAUUGUGAGUGUUAAUGUUUUGCCUGAGUAGUAUUAGUUGUGUUCUUGAAACUUAAAGAAUUUGGCGGUAUCUUACUCCGUUCAGAGGAAUCUGUCUCGUUAUCGAUAGUCCGCGUUGGACCUUACUUGGAUGUUUAUGUUUAUGGUUUGUAUACCGCCGUUUAUUGAUUGUCUUUUUAGGGUCGUUAAAUUUUCUGGUUUCUUAAUUUUGAUUUAUUGCAGGUCAAGGUGCAGCUCUGUCUGAGUGUAAUGAUGGAUUACAGUGUUAUGUGUUGUUGGAUUGUUGGUUUUAAUACUUAUAUGAAAUUGGAUUUGGUUGUAAUAGUUUUGUAGAUUGUCUAUAUGAUAGUUGGUUCUAGGAUAUGUACACAUCGCCCGUCGCUCUCAUUUAAGGUUUUGAUGAGAUAAGUCGUAACAAAGUGGCUGUACCGGAAGGUGUGGCUGGAAUGAG